UGCCUUCUCCCAGCUUCCCAUUGGACACUUGUUUUUCUCUUUUCCUUUCUUUUGGAAAACAAGCAGAUGUGAGAAGAGCCAAAGCAAAUGGUUCAUGUCCUGCACCUGAGAAAAAGAGAACAAAGUCCAUGAAGCCUACAGAGAGUGAACAGGAUUCUUGCAGUACUGUUUGUCACUGGCCCUACAGGGACAGGGUGAUUCAUUUACUUGCUCUGAGGACUUACAAGAAGCCAGAGUUACUUGCUCACUUGCAGAGAUAUGGAGUCAUGCAAAACGGCAAGGGCACCCUUGGAAAGGUCCUUCAGCAGAAAAUCAGCUCCAUCUCAGAACCCCACCAGCAGCAGCCAAGCAACAUCUCCAAGGCCUUCUGAGAGAGACACUCCAGCAAGACCUGCUCAGAAACAGCCUCUGGCUUCUGACUUGACCAGUCCUGUGACGAGCAAGAAGAGGAGAAUUGGUCACCAGCAGAGUCAUGUCCAGGCAGCAGCUGGUGGCCACUUUUCUUCCUUCCUUCUGCCUUCCACAUCCUUUUUCACUUUGGACAUGUCUCCAAGUGUUGGCUCCAUUUCCCCCCUGCACCCAUGUGGUGCAACAAACAGAGAAAUUUCAGAGUUCCAUCAUCCCAGCGCCUGCCAGAGUGCAGAAGGAGACCCCCAAUUCAAAUGGGAAGAAAACUGAAUUGGGGAGGCUGAAGCAGUUCCAUCCCUUGGAUUUCGAUGAAGGAACAAGGAAAGAUACUUCCAUUGCCUCCACAUGCUCUGCAGCAACCAACCAACCAGACUACUUGAGGUGCGUCAGAUAGCAAUUUGCUCUUGCCACUCUCAGUGGGGUGCAGUGUCCAUCUGUUUCCUGUGCAGAAAGGAUGAGUUUGAGCAGGUUUUGUUGGGCCUCUGAGGCUCAGAGCAGAGGUGAACACCGAGCUGAGUUAGGCCCAGACGUGCCCUCCCUUCCUGCAGUGCAGUUGCACAGGCUCAGCUGCAGCAGUGGUGCUGCAUCCCCUCAUUGCAUUUGCAGGACAGGAGGGAGAAGUGUGAGUGUGUAUGUGUGUGUGU
Long non-coding RNA from Passer domesticus (house sparrow), 1052 nucleotides. RefSeq lists it as uncharacterized. NCBI's taxonomy places the organism in Eukaryota, Metazoa, Chordata, Aves, Passeriformes, Passeridae. The transcript is spliced from 4 exons. The record is from RefSeq and is a predicted model, not a curated record.